CCUACGGGUGGCUGCAGUAGGGAAUCUUUCACAAUGGGCGAAAGCCUGAUGGAGCAACGCCGCGUGCAGGAUGAAGGCCUUCGGGUUGUAAACUGCUUUUAUCAGCGAGAAAUAUGAUGGUACCUUAUGAAUAAGGAUCGGAUAACUACGUGCCAGCAGCCGCGGUCAUACGUAGGAUCCGAGCAUUAUCCGGGGUGACUGGGUGUAAAGAGUUGCGUAGGUGGCAUAAUAAGUAGCUAGUGAAAUCUGGUGGCUCAACCAUUCAGACGAUUAGCUAAACUGUUAAGCUCGAGACCGUUAGGUGUAACUGGAAUGUCUAGUGUAGGAGUGAAAUGCGUAGAUAUUAGAAGGAACACCAAUAGCGUAGGCAGGUUGCUGGGACGGUUCUGACACUAAGGCACGAAAGCGUAGGGAGCAAACGGGAUUAGAUACCCUAGUAGUC
RNAcentral lists this ribosomal RNA (442 nucleotides) under uncultured bacterium. RNAcentral describes it as "partial 16S ribosomal RNA". It matches the Rfam family "Bacterial small subunit ribosomal RNA", at positions 338 to 795 of the family's 1533-position model. The record is from RNAcentral.